RNAcentral lists this ribosomal RNA (440 nucleotides) under uncultured bacterium. RNAcentral describes it as "bacterial SSU rRNA". It matches the Rfam family "Bacterial small subunit ribosomal RNA", at positions 338 to 795 of the family's 1533-position model. The record is from RNAcentral.
CCUACGGGAGGCUGCAGUGGGGAAUAUUGCACAAUGGGCGCAAGCCUGAUGCAGCGACGCCGCGUGAGCGAUGAAGGCCUUCGGGUCGUAAAGCUCUGUCCUAAGGGAAGAAUAAUGACGGUACCUUAGGAGGAAGCCCCGGCUAACUACGUGCCAGCAGCCGCGGUAAUACGUAGGGGGCGAGCGUUAUCCGGAAUCACUGGGCGUAAAGGGUGCGUAGGCGGCCCUGCAAGUCAGGAGUUAAAUCCCUCGGCUCAACCGAGGUCAGCUCUUGAAACUGUAGGGCUUGAGUGCAGGAGAGGAGAGAGGAAUUCAUAGUGUCGCGGUGAAAUGCGUCGGUAGUAGGAGGAACACCAGUGGCGAGGGGGGCUCUCUGGACUGAAACUGACGCUGAGGAACGAAAGCGUGGGGAGCGAACAGGGUUAGAUACCCGAGGAGUC